RNAcentral lists this ribosomal RNA (1234 nucleotides) under metagenome. RNAcentral's name for it is "bacterial LSU rRNA". It matches the Rfam family "Bacterial large subunit ribosomal RNA", at positions 1564 to 2808 of the family's 2925-position model. The record is from RNAcentral.
UGAGUACGAGAUGCUACGGCAUUGAAGCAGUCUAUGUCAUACUUCCAAGAAAAGCUUGCACUGUCAUAAACAAAGAAUGCCUGUACCAUAACCGACACAGGUGGGUAGGUAGAGUAUACUAAGGGGCGCGAGAUAACUCUCUCUAAGGAACUCGGCAAAAUGACUCCGUAACUUCGGGAGAAGGAGUGCCUUAUUUUUAAGGUUGCAAUAACAAGAUCCAAGCAACUGUUUAUCAAAAACACAGGUCUCCGCUAAGUCGUAAGACGAUGUAUGGGGGCUGACGCCUGCCCAGUGCCAGAAGGUUAAAGAAGUUGGUUAGCAUUCGCGAAGCUGAUAACUGAAGCCCUGGUGAACGGCGGCCGUAACAAUAACGGUCCUAAGGUAGCGAAAUUCCUUGUCGGGUAAGUUCCGACCCGCACGAAAGGCGUAAUGAUUUGGAUACUGUCUCGGAGAGGGACUCGGUGAAAUAGACUUGUCUGUGAAGAUGCGGACUACCUGCACCUGGACAGAAAGACCCUAUGAAGCUUUACUGUAACUUGAAAUUGAAAUUGGACUUUAGUUGCGCAGGAUAGGUGGGAGGCGUUGAGAAUAUUCUUGCGGGAGUAUUGGAGCCAUCAGUGAGAUACCACUCUUCUAAUGUUAGAUUUCUAACUUUGUAUCAUUAUCUGGUCAAGGAACAGUUUCAGGCGGGCAGUUUGACUGGGGCGGUCGCCUCCUAAAGGGUAACGGAGGCGCACAAAGGUUUCCUCUGAACGAGUAGAAAUCGUAUCUAGAGUGUAAAGGCAUAAGGAAGCUUGACUGUGAGACCUACAAGUCGAGCAGGGACGAAAGUCGGUCUUAGUGAUCUGACGGUGCUGAGUGGAAAGGCCGUCACUCAACGGAUAAAAGUUACUCUAGGAUAACAGGCUGAUCUCCCCCAAGAGUUCACAUCGACGGGGAGGUUUGGCACCUCGAUGUCGGCUCAUCGCAUCCUGGGGCGGUAGUACGUCCCAAGGGUUGGGCUGUUCGCCCAUGAAAGCGGUACGCGAGCUGGGUUCAGAACGUCGUGAGACAGUUCGGUCCAUAUCCGGUGUAGGCGUUAGAAUAUUGAGAGGAGCCUUCUCUUGUACGAGAGGACCGAGAAGGACAUACCUCUAGUGUACCAGUUAUCGUGCCAACGGUAAACGCUGGGUAGCUAUGUAUGGAGUGGAUAACCGCUGAAAGCAUCUAAGUGGGAAGCCCACCUCAAGAUAAG